RNAcentral lists this ribosomal RNA (497 nucleotides) under uncultured bacterium. RNAcentral's name for it is "partial 16S ribosomal RNA". It matches the Rfam family "Bacterial small subunit ribosomal RNA", at positions 28 to 507 of the family's 1533-position model. The record is from RNAcentral.
GAUGAACGCUGGCGGCGUGCCUAAUACAUGCAAGUCGAGCGAACAGACGAGGAGCUUGCUCCUCUGACGUUAGCGGCGGACGGGUGAGUAACACGUGGAUAACCUACCUAUAAGACUGGGAUAACUUCGGGAAACCGGAGCUAAUACCGGAUAAUAUAUUGAACCGCAUGGUUCAAUAGUGAAAGACGGUUUUGCUGUCACUUAUAGAUGGAUCCGCGCCGCAUUAGCUCGUUGGUAAGGUAACGGCUUACCAAGGCGACGAUGCGUAGCCGACCUGAGAGGGUGAUCGGCCACACUGGAACUGAGACACGGUCCAGACUCCUACGGGAGGCAGCAGUAGGGAAUCUUCCGCAAUGGGCGAAAGCCUGACGGAGCAACGCCGCGUGAGUGAUGAAGGUCUUCGGAUCGUAAAACUCUGUUAUUAGGGAAGAACAAAUGUGUAAGUAACUAUGCACGUCUUGACGGUACCUAAUCAGAAAGCCACGGCUAACUACGUG